Long non-coding RNA from Acanthochromis polyacanthus (spiny chromis), 505 nucleotides. RefSeq lists it as uncharacterized. The record is from RefSeq and is a predicted model, not a curated record. NCBI's taxonomy places the organism in Eukaryota, Metazoa, Chordata, Actinopteri, Pomacentridae. The transcript has 2 exons.
ACAUUUAUUCUAUUCAACAUUCUGAGGGUUUUUACAGAGAGCUUUGUUUUGUUUACUGUCUGUGGACCUGGAAGGAGCAGCUUCAUAUCUGGAAAAAAGAUUCACAAUCAACGGUUUGUUUAACAGAAGAGAUCAUCUUAGUUCAAAGUGGCACCAAAUCCAUGUCAUGUUUGGGUCGUAUGUUGGCCUUUAACUUUGAGCAGGUGUGUUAUUUACAGUGUUUAUGGUAGAAUGUGACCGUUUUAAUGGCAGAUCACAUGGAAGUAACAUGAGCCAGUUUGAAAUAGUGAGUUAUGCAGAAGAACAACAUGAAGAAGAAAUUCAAAGUUUUUAAUCAGUAAAUAUGUUAGAUUAUAUUUUUAAUCUAUUUUGUGUACUUGUUGAUGGAAAACGUUUCAUAAAAGAAACCUUAAUAAUGUUGCCUUUUAAUGUUUUAACCCUCCUGUUGUCCUCAUUUACAGGCACCAAAAAACAUCGUUUCCUCGGAUAAAAAAAAAAAAAAUUA